GAUGAACGCUGGCGGCGUGCCUAAUACAUGCAAGUCGAGCGAACAGAUGAGGAGCUUGCUCCUCUGACGUUAGCGGCGGACGGGUGAGUAACACGUGGAUAACCUACCUAUAAGACUGGGAUAACUUCGGGAAACCGGAGCUAAUACCGGAUAAUAUAUUGAACCGCAUGGUUCAAUAGUGAAAGACGGUUUUGCUGUCACUUAUAGAUGGAUCCGCGCCGCAUUAGCUAGUUGGUAAGGUAACGGCUUACCAAGGCAACGAUGCGUAGCCAACCUGAGAGGGUGAUCGGCCACACUGGAACUGAGACACGGUCCAGACUCCUACGGGAGGCAGCAGUAGGGAAUCUUCCGCAAUGGGCGAAAGCCUGACGGAGCAACGCCACGUGAGUGAUGAAGGUCUUCGGAUCGUAAAACUCUGUUAUUAGGGAAGAACAAAUGUGUAAGUAACUAUGCACGUCUUGACGGUACCUAAUCAGAAAGCCACGGCUAACUACGUG
RNAcentral lists this ribosomal RNA (497 nucleotides) under uncultured bacterium. RNAcentral's name for it is "partial 16S ribosomal RNA". It matches the Rfam family "Bacterial small subunit ribosomal RNA", at positions 28 to 507 of the family's 1533-position model. The record is from RNAcentral.